AUACGGAGGGUCCAAGCGUUAUCCGGAUUCAUUGGGUUUAAAGGGUCCGCAGGCGGGAAAAUAAGUCAGUGGUGAAAGCCUACAGCUCAACUGUAGAACUGCCGUUGAUACUGUUUUUCUUGAGUAUAGAUGAAGUGGGCGGAAUAUAUCAUGUAGCGGUGAAAUGCAUAGAUAUGAUAUAGAACACCGAUUGCGAAGGCAGCUCACUAAACUAUUACUGACGCUCAGGGACGAAAGCGUGGGGAGCGAACAGGAUUAGAAACCCUAGUAGUCC
RNAcentral lists this ribosomal RNA (274 nucleotides) under uncultured bacterium. Its description in RNAcentral is "partial 16S ribosomal RNA". It matches the Rfam family "Bacterial small subunit ribosomal RNA", at positions 523 to 796 of the family's 1533-position model. The record is from RNAcentral.